UACGUAGGGGGCGAGCGUUGUCCGGAUUCAUUGGGCGUAAAGAGCUCGUAGGCGGCUUGGCAAGUCGGGCGUGAAAUCCCCGAGCUUAACUCGGGACUGUCGUUCGAUACUGCUAUGGCUUGAGUCUGGUAGGGGAGCAUGGAAUUCCUGGUGUAGCGGUGAAAUGCGCAGAUAUCAGGAGGAACACCAGUGGCGAUGGCGGCGCUCUGGGCCGGUACUGACGCUGAGGAGCGAAAGCGUGGGGAGCGAACAGG
Molecule: unclassified non-coding RNA, 254 nt
Filed under: uncultured Acidimicrobiia bacterium
Lineage: Bacteria; Bacillati; Actinomycetota; Acidimicrobiia
Description: contains 16S-23S intergenic spacer region
Rfam family: Bacterial small subunit ribosomal RNA
Source: RNAcentral